GCUGGGAUCGCAUAGCUUGGUUAGUGCGGCAGACUUAAGAUCUGUUGUCCUCCAAGGACAGUCGAAUGCGAGUGAGCGAAGCGAACUCGCUCACAAGUCACUGGGUUCAAAUCCCACUCCCAGCG
Molecule: transfer RNA, 125 nt
Filed under: Candidatus Woesearchaeota archaeon
Lineage: Archaea; Nanobdellati; Candidatus Woesearchaeota
Description: tRNA-Leu
Rfam family: tRNA
About the family: Transfer RNA (tRNA) molecules are approximately 80 nucleotides in length. Their secondary structure includes four short double-helical elements and three loops (D, anti-codon, and T loops).
Source: RNAcentral